ACGGAAGGCAGCAGUGAGGAGUAUUGGUCAAUGGGCGGAAGCCUGAACCAGCCAAGUCGCGUGAAGGAAGAAGGUAUUAUGUAUUGUAAACUUCUUUAGACGUAGAGAAAUAAGUGCCUCGUGAGGCAUGAUGCUAGUAUACGUAGAAUAAGGAUCGGCUAACUCCGUGACAGCAGCCGCGGUAAUACGGAGGAUCCGAGCGUUAUCCGGAUUUAUUGGGUUUAAAGGGUGCGCAGGCGGUUUUUUAAGUCAGUGGUUAAAUAGGGGGGCUCACCCUCACCCCGCCAUUGAUACUGGGAGACUUGAUUGCGGUCGAGGUUGGCGGAAUUCGCCGUGUAGCGGUGAAAUGCAUAGAUAUGGCGAAGAACUCCGAUUGCGUAGGCAGCUGACCAGGCCGUAAAUGACGCUCAUGCACGAAAGUGCGGGGAUCGAACAGGAUUAGAUACCCUGGUA
This 453-nucleotide ribosomal RNA is filed under the name uncultured Porphyromonadaceae bacterium. RNAcentral's name for it is "partial 16S ribosomal RNA". It matches the Rfam family "Bacterial small subunit ribosomal RNA", at positions 341 to 792 of the family's 1533-position model. Lineage: Bacteria; Pseudomonadati; Bacteroidota; Bacteroidia; Bacteroidales; Porphyromonadaceae. The record is from RNAcentral.